GUAACGGUGUCUUUAGACACCACCUUUUCUCUUUGAAGGUUAUUC
Molecule: non-coding RNA, 45 nt
Organism: Picea glauca (white spruce)
Lineage: Eukaryota; Viridiplantae; Streptophyta; Pinopsida; Pinales; Pinaceae
Source: Rfam